Molecule: ribosomal RNA, 244 nt
Filed under: Streptomyces shenzhenensis
Lineage: Bacteria; Bacillati; Actinomycetota; Actinomycetes; Kitasatosporales; Streptomycetaceae
Description: partial 16S ribosomal RNA
Rfam family: Bacterial small subunit ribosomal RNA
Source: RNAcentral
ACCCUGGUAGUCCACGCCGUAAACGGUGGGAACUAGGUGUUGGCGACAUUCCACGUCGUCGGUGCCGCAGCUAACGCAUUAAGUUCCCCGCCUGGGGAGUACGGCCGCAAGGCUAAAACUCAAAGGAAUUGACGGGGGCCCGCACAAGCGGCGGAGCAUGUGGCUUAAUUCGACGCAACGCGAAGAACCUUACCAAGGCUUGACAUACACCGGAAAACUCUGGAGACAGGGUCCCCCUUGUGGU